Molecule: non-coding RNA, 29 nt
Filed under: Rattus norvegicus (Norway rat)
Lineage: Eukaryota; Metazoa; Chordata; Mammalia; Rodentia; Muridae
Source: RNAcentral
UGGGAAUUCACAGGAUCAGGGAGGAGGGU